RNAcentral lists this ribosomal RNA (320 nucleotides) under uncultured eukaryote. RNAcentral's name for it is "partial 18S ribosomal RNA". It matches the Rfam family "Eukaryotic small subunit ribosomal RNA", at positions 1470 to 1796 of the family's 1831-position model. The record is from RNAcentral.
CCCCUAGAUGUUCUGGGCCGCACGCGCGCUACACUGAACAGUUCAACAAGUCUUAACCUUGGCCGAUAGGUCUGGGUAAUCUUUGAACGCUGUUCGUGAUUGGGAUAGACCUUUGCAAUUAUGGGUCUUCAACGAGGAAUUCCUAGUAAACGCAAGUCAUCAGCUUGCAUUGAUUACGUCCCUGCCCUUUGUACACACCGCCCGUCGCACCUACCGAUUGAAUGGUCCGGUGAAAUCUCGGGACGGCGGCUUGGUCGCUUGCGUCCGGCUGCUGAAACUUGAUUAAACCAUAUCAUUUAGAGGAAGGUGAANUCGUAACA